This 459-nucleotide ribosomal RNA is filed under the name uncultured bacterium. Its description in RNAcentral is "partial 16S ribosomal RNA". It matches the Rfam family "Bacterial small subunit ribosomal RNA", at positions 338 to 795 of the family's 1533-position model. The record is from RNAcentral.
CCUACGGGGGGCAGCAGUGAGGAAUAUUGGUCAAUGGGCGGAAGCCUGAACCAGCCAAGUAGCGUGCGGGAUGAAGGCCCUACGGGUCGUAAACCGCUUUUGCACGGGGAUAACACCCUCCACUUGUGGCGGUCUGCAGGUACCGUACGAAUAAGCGCCGGCUAAGUCCGUGCCAGCAGCCGCGGUAAUACGGAAGGCCCGAGCGUUAUCCGGAUUCAUUGGGUUUAAAGGGAGCGUAGGCGGGCGUUCAAGUCAGCGGUAAAAGCGCGCGGCUCAACCGCGCCCCGCAGUUGAAACUGGACGCCUUGAGUUCACAAGAGGCAGGCGGAAUGCGUGGUGUAGCGGUGAAAUGCAUAGAUAUCACGAAGAACCCCGAUUGCGAAGGCAGCCUGCCGGGGUGCGACUGACGCUGAGGCACGAAGGUGCGGGUAUCAAACAGGAUUAGAUACCCUAGUAGUC